UCAUAUGUACUUUCCUAUAGCGUCAAUGCAUCAUAUCCCAUUAGAACUUUGCAGUUAAGAGCACUUGGGAUAGAGUGGUAUUGGGAUGGGUGACAUACCAGGAAGUCCUAGUAUUUUACAUGCC
Picea glauca (white spruce) is the source of this 124-nucleotide non-coding RNA. The record is from Rfam. NCBI's taxonomy places the organism in Eukaryota, Viridiplantae, Streptophyta, Pinopsida, Pinales, Pinaceae.